Molecule: ribosomal RNA, 744 nt
Filed under: Cordyceps gunnii
Lineage: Eukaryota; Fungi; Ascomycota; Sordariomycetes; Hypocreales; Cordycipitaceae
Description: partial large subunit ribosomal RNA
Rfam family: Eukaryotic large subunit ribosomal RNA
Source: RNAcentral
ACAGGGAUUGCCCCAGUAACGGCGAGUGAAGCGGCAACAGCUCAAAUUUGAAAUCUGGAGGGUCCGAGUUGUAAUUUGCAGAGGAUGCUUUUGGCGAGGGCCCUGGAACGGGACGCCAUAGAGGGUGAGAGCCCCGUCUGGUUGGACACCGAGCCUCUGUAAAGCUCCUUCGACGAGUCGAGUAGUUUGGGAAUGCUGCUCUAAAUGGGAGGUAUAUGUCUUCUAAAGCUAAAUAUUGGCCAGAGACCGAUAGCGCACAAGUAGAGUGAUCGAAAGAUGAAAAGCACUUUGAAAAGAGGGUUAAAUAGUACGUGAAAUUGUUGAAAGGGAAGCGCUUAUGACCAGACUUGGGCCCGGUGAAUCAUCUGGUGCACUUUGCCGGGCAGGCCAGCAUCAGUUCCUCGGGGGAUAAAGGAAUGUGGCUCCUCCCCACCGCACAAUACCCUGGGGCGGACUGAGGUCGCGCAUUGGUCAUCAGCGACCCGUCUUGAAACACGGACCAAGGAGUCGUCUUCGUAUGCGAGUGUUCGGGUGUAAACCCCUACGCGUAAUGAAAGUGAACGCAGGUGAGGCGCAUCAUCGACCGAUCCUGAUGUUCUCGGAUGGAUUUGAGUAAGAGCAUACGGGGCCGGACCCGAAAGAAGGUGAACUAUGCCUGUAUAGGGUGAAGCCAGAGGAAACUCUGGUGGAGGCUCGGUUCUGACGUGCAAAUCGAUCGUCAAAUAUGGGGCGAAAGACUAAUCG